GGAUUAGAUACCCUGGUAGUCCACGCCGUAAACGAUGUGCACUAGGUCGGAGCGGUUUUGACGCCCUUCCGGCCGACGUAAAAACAUUAAGUGCACCGCCUGGGGAGUACGGUCGCAAGGCUAAAACUCAAAGGAAUUGACGGGGGCUCACACAAGCGGUGGAGCAUGUUGCUUAAUUCGAGACAACGCGAAGAACCUUACCUGGGUUUGACAUGCACGGAUUAGCUCGGUGAAAGUCGAGUGACGCCCUCGGGUGGAACGUGCACAGGUGAUGCAUGGCUGUCGUCAGCUCGUGUUG
RNAcentral lists this ribosomal RNA (298 nucleotides) under uncultured bacterium. RNAcentral describes it as "partial 16S ribosomal RNA". It matches the Rfam family "Bacterial small subunit ribosomal RNA", at positions 775 to 1067 of the family's 1533-position model. The record is from RNAcentral.